Molecule: ribosomal RNA, 253 nt
Filed under: uncultured bacterium
Lineage: Bacteria
Description: partial 16S ribosomal RNA
Rfam family: Bacterial small subunit ribosomal RNA
Source: RNAcentral
UACAGAGGUGGCAAGCGUUGUUCGGAAUUACUGGGCGUAAAGGGCGCGUAGGCGGCUCGCUAAGUCAGACGUGAAAUCCCCCGGCUUAACCUGGGAACUGCGUCUGAUACUGGCAAGCUCGAGUGCGGGAGAGGGAUGUGGAAUUCCAGGUGUAGCGGUGAAAUGCGUAGAUAUCUGGAGGAACACCGGUGGCGAAGGCGGCAUCCUGGACCGACACUGACGCUGAGGCGCGAAAGCUAGGGGAGCAAACGGG